UAGCAGCGUCGUUCUUGCUGGCGA
RNAcentral lists this non-coding RNA (24 nucleotides) under Mus musculus (house mouse). The record is from RNAcentral. Lineage: Eukaryota; Metazoa; Chordata; Mammalia; Rodentia; Muridae.